CUGGCCCUGAAUCAAGGCUGGCAGCUUCCUGACGCUGCUGGGUUCAAGCAGGAGCCUAAAGAGAUGUUAUUUUGGUCUGUUAGCCAUUUCAGAACUUGGGCAAUGAAAUGGUCAAUUCAUUAGAAAGAAACAGCU
Molecule: small nucleolar RNA, 135 nt
Organism: Cavia porcellus (domestic guinea pig)
Lineage: Eukaryota; Metazoa; Chordata; Mammalia; Rodentia; Caviidae
Source: Ensembl